This 297-nucleotide ribosomal RNA is filed under the name uncultured bacterium. Its description in RNAcentral is "partial 16S ribosomal RNA". It matches the Rfam family "Bacterial small subunit ribosomal RNA", at positions 505 to 805 of the family's 1533-position model. The record is from RNAcentral.
GUGCCAGCCGCCGCGGUAAUACGAAGGGGGCUAGCGUUGUUCGGAAUUACUGGGCGUAAAGCGCGCGUAGGCGGUCUUGCCAGUCAGAGGUGAAAUCCCGGGGCUCAACCUCGGAAUUGCCUUUGAUACUGUAAGACUUGAGUCCGUGAGAGGGUGGUGGAAUAUCCAGUGUAGAGGUGAAAUUCGUAGAUAUUGGAUGGAACACCAGUGGCGAAGGCGGCCACCUGGCACGGUACUGACGCUGAGGUGCGAAAGCGUGGGGAGCAAACAGGAUUAGAAACCCGAGUAGUCCCGAAA